RNAcentral lists this ribosomal RNA (451 nucleotides) under uncultured Phyllobacteriaceae bacterium. RNAcentral describes it as "partial 16S ribosomal RNA". The record is from RNAcentral. Lineage: Bacteria; Pseudomonadati; Pseudomonadota; Alphaproteobacteria; Hyphomicrobiales; Phyllobacteriaceae.
CACGAAGUUAGCCGGGGCUUCUUCUCCGGUUACCGUCAUUAUCUUCACCGGUGAAAGAGCUUUACAACCCUAGGGCCUUCAUCACUCACGCGGCAUGGCUGGAUCAGGGUUGCCCCCAUUGUCCAAUAUUCCCCACUGCUGCCUCCCGUAGGAGUCUGGGCCGUGUCUCAGUCCCAGUGUGGCUGAUCAUCCUCUCAGACCAGCUAUGGAUCGUCGCCUUGGUAGGCCAUUACCCCACCAACUAGCUAAUCCAACGCGGGCUCAUCCAUCUCCGAUAAAUCUUUCUCCCGAAGGACGUAUACGGUAUUAGUCCAAGUUUCCCUGGGUUAUUCCGUAGAGAUAGGUAGAUUCCCACGCGUUACUCACCCGUCUGCCGCUCGUAUUGCUACGCGCUCGACUUGCAUGUGUUAAGCCUGCCGCAAGCGUUCGUUCUGAGCCAGGAUCAAACUCU